UAGCUGUGGAGGGCGCCAUCUUCUAUUGAAGCAAAAAGGAUCGAGUAUCUUCUAAAUUGGAAAGCCCUUAAAGCCUAGCAUGUAAUACAAUUACGGUUUGCCGGUUAACUUGUAGCAAGAUAAGGUAGUAUUUUCACACACCAGAUCAUAAAAUAGGGAAUUUUGGUAUACUGGACGAGCCCUUCGCAAGGAGCGCAACAAAGGUGUCAAUCAGAAUACUACACUGCACAUUCUUAGAAAUGGACCAACCCCUUUGUGAAAAUUUGUGGAAGCUUCCUCAAAAGAAUCCUCAUACUUCUUUGUUGAAGGGAGUUUUGGAAAUGAUUCCUGUACUCCUCUCACCUAUUGCAGGUGCUAAGAUUAGAAGAAGCAUGUGCUAUCAUCUGUGACUUUGCUGAAUAUUUUGAAGAGAAUUUUAUUGAAUAUUUUAUCUAUUAUUAUUAAUCUAUUUGUUUAUUUAUUUAUGAAUGAGAUGGGGUCUCUUUAUG
Non-coding RNA from Myodes glareolus (Bank vole), 488 nucleotides. Lineage: Eukaryota; Metazoa; Chordata; Mammalia; Rodentia; Cricetidae. The record is from RefSeq and is a predicted model, not a curated record.